CCUAUUGUAGCUCAGUUGGUAGAGUAUGACGCUUGCAACGUCAGGAUAGUGGGUUUGACCACCCGUAGGU
RNAcentral lists this transfer RNA (70 nucleotides) under Salmo salar (Atlantic salmon). It matches the Rfam family "tRNA". From Rfam's summary of the family: Transfer RNA (tRNA) molecules are approximately 80 nucleotides in length. Their secondary structure includes four short double-helical elements and three loops (D, anti-codon, and T loops). Lineage: Eukaryota; Metazoa; Chordata; Actinopteri; Salmoniformes; Salmonidae. The record is from Rfam by way of RNAcentral.